CCUACGGGAGGCAGCAGUGAGGAAUAUUGGUCAAUGGGCGCGAGCCUGAACCAGCCAAGUAGCGUGAAGGAUGACUGCCCUACGGGUUGUAAACUUCUUUUAUAAAGGAAUAAAGUGAGGCACGUGUGCCUUUUUGUAUGUACUUUAUGAAUAAGGAUCGGCUAACUCCGUGCCAGCAGCCGCGGUAAUACGGAGGAACCGAGCGUUAUCCGGAUUUAUUGGGUUUAAAGGGAGCGUAGAUGGGUUGUUAAGUCAGUUGUGAAAGUUUGCGGCUCAACCGUAAAAUUGCAAUUGAUACUGGCAGCCUUGAGUACAGUUGAGGUAGGUGGAAGUCGUGGUGUAGCGGUGAAAUGCUUAGAUAUCACGAAGAACUCCGAUUGCGAAGGCAGCUUACGAAACUGCCACUGACAUUGAUGCUCGAAAGUGUGGGUAUCAAACAGGAUUAGAUACCCUGGUAGUC
This 460-nucleotide ribosomal RNA is filed under the name uncultured bacterium. RNAcentral describes it as "partial 16S ribosomal RNA". It matches the Rfam family "Bacterial small subunit ribosomal RNA", at positions 338 to 795 of the family's 1533-position model. The record is from RNAcentral.